This is a long non-coding RNA of Acinonyx jubatus (cheetah), 12417 nucleotides long. RefSeq lists it as uncharacterized. The record is from RefSeq and is a predicted model, not a curated record. NCBI's taxonomy places the organism in Eukaryota, Metazoa, Chordata, Mammalia, Carnivora, Felidae. The transcript has 3 exons.
CAAGCCAAGGAAACAGCCUCAGAAGAAACCAGCCUUGCCGACAGGUUGACCUCAGAGUUCCAGACUCCAGAACUGUGGGAAAACAAACUUCUGUUGGUUAAGCCACCUAAUCCUUGGUACUCUGUCUUGACAGCCCUAGCAAAUUAAUAGUGUGCUUUAAGUGCAAUUAACAAAAACGUAUAGGUUAUGUCAAAUACAACAGUUGUUGGAACCCGUCUCCACAGGCUAAAGAAACAAAACCAACACUCAGCAAACCAUCCAGUUGUGCUGUCAUCAGAGGAAAUGGGGAUGGCAGUGAGCAGAUCUGGGAGGGCAUCCAACGGUUACCAGACACAAGCCAAGGAAGAUAGUGGGUUCAGGAUACCUUUUGAAGUGGUGCUGUUAAGAAUCUCCCUCAAAAGCUAGUCUGCUCCCAGGUGUUGUUGGCCAUGUGAGAGGGCAGGAUGUAAACUGAAACCAUAAAUGAGUUACAAGGAUCAUUUUCUCUGAACAGCAUUACAUCAAAGAUCAGAUGGUGCCAAAAGAUGAUGCACUCAGCUCCCUCUCUCUAGAGACCUAGUCUUAGCGAUCCGCCUAACCCUGCGAGUGCUGUCUGGAGAUGGAGCACACCAUGGAGGAAAUGCCCUGCAACCAGAAGACAGAUAAAAAGACAGAACACUGGGCCAUUCAGAUAACAUAUGUCACCUGUGCGCACUCUGGAAAGCAGAAUUUCAAGGAGGCAGAGAAAGGAAAAGGAAAUCUCCUCGCUGGCAACAAAACGAAAGUGUUUACAUGUGAAAUUAAUCGUCAGCGCAAAGAGCUUUCCCAGUCACUCUGUUCCACAAUAUAAUAUGCUGCUUGUUUAGCUGCUGAGUCUUUAAAAUUUUGAUUUCUAAGAAUAAUAGCAAAGACUUUCGAGAGGAGCCACGAAUCAAGUCGGGAGCAAGCCACAAAAGGUUAACACAAUGAUCCAACUUUGCUUUGCCACCACUAUCUGAGACUGUUGUGUGAUUUUUCAGGCUUUGAUGGUGCCUGGUUUAAGGCAGGCUGCAGCGGCAGCUGGCUAAUUUGAGCGUGGUGAACACCGAGGUCAGCUGCAAACGUGUGUUGCGCAAACUCCUCCUCUCACCCCUGCCUCAUUCCUUUCCAACAGGAACAUGCUCAGCACAAAGCAAUCCACCUAAAGACUCCAUAAAUCCAAAAAAGGGAGUUACUGAUCGAGGAAUUCUCAGAUUUCUGCCAAGGCACCCUCCCCUGGGCUGGAGGUCAGCCUGGUACAGUAAUCCGAGCCAAACUGUGGACUGGACUCAAGGAAUUAAGUUGAAUGCUUCAAAUCUUGACUUUUAAUGGACGAUUUUUCUUUUCGGUGAUGAAGACAAAACAAAGUACAAACAGCUGAUAACAGCCCAAAGUAAACCAGAAGAGUAAGUACGAGAACAAAGCUUGGACACAAAUCUCAUAAGGGAUAUCUAAGGAGAGAUUUUUCCAAACAAAGGGAAAAAAUAAAGCAGCUUUUUAAAGCUCUGGUUUGAGAUUAAGCAGUUUGUGAAUGAACAAUAAGAAAGUAAAGGCCACAAAACAAGAUAUUUGCUCUUUUCAGCAGAAAAAAAAAAAUACUGGCCUUUGUUAACUAGCAGCAAAACAAAAAAAAAGGGGGCCCCUCAGGCAUUUAAGCACAGCAUAAGUUUUUCCUUGACCCCAUGACCUCAACAAAUAUGUUAAUAAAAUCUUUUACCUCCCUGGAGUGGAACCAGACUAAAUAUUUACUUAACACGUUGGGUUUCUAAGUCUGGACCACCUUAUUCCUUCAUACAAAUUGGGUUUUACUUGUAAUCAGAAACACUAUAUUUUGCAAUGUUUCUCCUACUUUUAAGAUGAAAGAUGAGAAGGGAGGGGAAGAAGAAAAAGAAGGAAGGCCCCAGGGGUGGGGGGAGAAAGGGAGAAAAAGAAGAAAACUAUACUGCGCUCACUAUGACAAAGGGCACUUCUGAAUUUCUGCAUGGUAUUUUCUGUCACAAACGAGGGUAAUGCUGCUGAUAUGCUUUCCAAUAUCAGACAUCUGGAGCUAGCAGGACUUUUUCCAAGCACAUUCCAAGGUUAAUAGGAAACAUCUCGUCUUGCUUUUAUUAGCUGGUUUAAGUAAUGUUAGGUAUGCUGAGUUUCACCUUCAAAUAACUAUAAGAAGUCUGAUUUCUACUCACCAAGAAUGCCAUUUUUUCUUUCCUCUUGUCCCAAAGUAUUUACUACUCACGAAAACCUUAUGAAAAUUUUCACCAACAUAAAAGUCCUCCAAAAUCAGUUUCUUUUGUUAAAGGCUUCAAAGACUAGUAUUUUUUUUUUUUUAUCUAGACCUAAGAAUUUUGGACUUUUCUUGCUCUAGGUGGAUGAUGAGAUAGCCAGUUGCUUUUGAGGAGUUUGUGGAAAUAUCAAAGCAUUCCUUUUGCUGACAAGUUCAAGACUGAGUUUUCCAGAAACUGUGCAUUUUGUCCCCAAGUGCUCAUUCCCAAAGAAAUCACUCACUCUUCCCAUCGGUGUGCCCUCUUCUACUGGCAACUGCAAAUAAAUCCCCCAGCCCAAGCCACUCUGCAGCUUCACGCUUGCCCCGCACUGCCUUGGUCAUUUAAAGACUGCUACCUCUUCAACAGCAUCAUAACAGAUCACCAAAUUUGGAGGGAAAAAGUCAUUUCUAUUGCAAGAGGCUAUAAUUAAAAGUAGUUUAAAUCAGAUGCUAGCUGAUUGUCUUAUAAGUUUGGCUUUUAAAAAAGGAAAAAUACAGUCAGAUCUGUACCCACAUGCUGUAAGUGCUCAGGUCACAGAGAGGCCACUAAGAAGUUUCCAUAACCUGUCCUCUGCGAAAACUGGCAAAAAACUAAAAGUACCAGAGGAUAAGAGUAAGAUUAGGAUGGAUGUGCCCCCGUGCACCACCUGGAUUUUCAACCUCACUGGCAGGAGGCAUGGUCUGAUUUAGGAGGGAUGAGGGCUCAGUCAGGCAGUACCGUGGGAAGCAAACAAGACCCAAAGGGGCGGCCACCCACCCAAACUGAUGUAGGGUUUCGGGGCUGGGAGUCACCGAAGACACACAUACAUCAAGAGUGUGAAGGUUACUGCAAACGGAAGAGGAAUGCCAACUUGGGAGGCAAAAUUACCUCACUUAUAUUCUAAUGGACAUGAAAAAGGUAGUAUUAGAAACUCAAGGGGUGCCUGGGUGGCUCAGUAGGUUGAGCGUCCAACUUCAGCCCAGGUCAUGAUCUCAAGGUUUGUGAGUUCGAGUCCUGCAUCGGUCUCUGUGCUAACAGCUUAGAGCCUGCAGCCUGUUUCGGAUUCUGUGUCUUCUUCUCUCUCAGCCCCUCCCCAACUCAUGCUCUGUCUCUCUCUCUCUCAAAAAUAAACAUUACCAAAAAAAUUAAAACAAAACAAAGAAACUCAGGCCUUGAUUCUAAGUCCUGACUACCUUCUCCAACAACACAAUACUUUGACCUCAUGUUUUUGGGGUUUUUUUCCCCCUCAGUCUCUCUUCCCUUGUAAACCAAUCAUUAAAACUUGACUUCUCCAAAGGAAGAGAACUAUGAACAAUACACAGGAGUUGCUGGAACCCACACAGGGAGAGUAUGUAAAUCUGGAGACCCCAGUUUUCUGUGGAAAUGCACACACGGGUUCACUAUAAUGUCUUUAGGCAUGUUUCCCAGGUGUGCUUAUUUAAUCCUCGGUGUGGUUCCAAGGACGAAAUUCACCAAUACAUCACAGUGCCGCAACAGGUUGAGGCACACGCGUAAGGGGAUCUGGACUGGCUGCCAUUUCCAUCAUCCUCAUCAUUUUACAGAUGAGAAUACUGAGGGAGACACAUCAGGGAGCCUGCCCACAGAACCCAGCAGUAGAGAAGGCAGGAUGCAACCCAGCCUCUCCUCUCAUAGAAUACUGUCUGUCGACAUGGACCUCCUCUGCCAGUUCCCCAGGGCCACCUAGAGUGCCGACAUAAGCUCCCCCGAGUGCCAGGGCCGGUUUUCAAUACCCCAAGUACAGGAGGCGCUGAGCAUCUCUGCUUAGUGCCCUAAUGCUGAAUUUCUGACACCUAAUAUCAAGAGGCAUUUUCUCAAAAAUAUUUGUUGCUCUGCUGUGUUGCCCUUCAAAAAUAACUUACCUAAAAACCAAUUAGCACUGUCUGAGGGCAGAGAGGGUUUGCUCUCCAGUAUCCAUGUGUUGCCACAGUCUGAGGAAAGACUGCUUUUAGACCAGCAGCUCUGGCUUGGUUACGUUAAGACUUUGGAUCUAAUUAAACCCAAGCUACACUGGUCAUCACACUUUUGUCUUUUUUCAAUUUUCCGUGGGAGGAAAUGUUUAGAACAAAACAAGUAUCUAGCAAUGGCUGCAGCUAAUUACAAAGGGCAUUUACUGAGAAACCAAAUUGUUUUAAUAUGACCCCCAAAUGAACUCUCAAACAACUUCGCAGAGGGCCUAGCAAUGUACAGUCUAAUUCAGAAGAUCUUUCUUUCGUCAAAUGUAUUUGAAACCAUGUUCACCGUAACUUUGCUUUCCAAUAUUUCAAUUUAAAAACAAACUGCUUAAAGGAGAAUUAAAACCUUAUCUUUAUCAAUGAUCUUCAAAUAUACAAACCAUAUAUAGUUGACCCUUUAACAACAUGGGGUUCAGAGGCACCAACGGCUUGUGCAAAAAUCUGUGUGCAAUUUUUAACCCCCCCCCAAACUUAACAGCCAUAAUUAACACAUUUCAUAUGUCAUAUGUACUAUAUGCUGCAUUCUCGCAAUAAAGGAAGCUAGAGAAAAGGAAAUGUUAUUAAGAAAAUCACAAGGAAAAUACAUUUACUGUCCUGUAUCUAUAAAAAAUCUGCAUGUAAGUGGACCGGCACAGUUCAAACCUGUGUUGUUCAAGGGUCAACUCUACUACAUAAAAAUAUGAAAUCAUCCUAGUGGAGGAAGAAACACUCAUCAGCCCAGAGAGACAGUGUAUAAACUACUAAGAAUGGUAAUUCAAGAAAGAGAAACAAAUUUAACCUGACUCUGUUUGGAAACAUUUAAUUAAUGCAGAAGAAAUGCAGAUAUUCCUAAAGUCAGAAAAAUGGAAAAACAGAGACGGGGUAACAAGCCAAUUAGCUAUUAUCAUCAUGAAGGCACUAAAGAGCAAAUAACAAAGCAGGUGAUCCUCAGAUUACACUGAUGCAAUGUAUUCCAUCCCACUCAAAAAUACAGCGUCCCUCUGGCUUUGUCUAAACAGUGUAAGAACAGCUGAUAAAAAUUCACAAUAAUCAGAUGAAUUGCUCUAGGAUGCCAAAGAACAAAUUUAAUUGAAUCCCUGAUUGAAUUGAUUGUGACAGUGUAGACAGUUAAGCUUCAUAUAAUAAAAUUAAAACUUUAAAAGCAGUCAUCAUGAAAAAAAAAGGAAAAAGAAUAUGCUUAAUAAAGAUGAAAAGAUGUGGAGACUUGGCUCCCAGACCUUGAUAACAAGAUCAGAACAAUUUAAGAUUCUAUUAUCAAGAAGUGAGCAAAAUAUGCAAGGGCCUGGGGCAUUUCAUGAUGUAUGAUUAGACCCAAGUCUCCACAGGGCAGCAUGAAAUGGACACUCAGUUAUGGUCCAGAGCAUCCAGGCUUCAGAAACAGUCAAAUCCACUUAAGGAAGGAUCAAAAUUAUGAACAUGAGGACUCAGAGAAGAUGUGGGCACAAUUUCUGAUGCUGUAUUAACUGAACUGGUUGGGUAUAUAAUCUCAAUUAUCCAACCAAUUAAUCAAAAAAUAUUUGCUGUGUCCUUAAUUUUGGUGAGGUAUUCACUAUUUGGUAGGUAGCUUUCAAUCCUAUAGAAUGAACAUCUUACCAAGAGUACAUCCCAUUACUUUGGGCUGGAAGUGCCAAAGCAGCAAGCACAUUUCUUCAAAAGAGUUUUGGUUUUUUUUUUUUUUUUUUCCAUUGGAACUAAGCCAUCAAAUCCUGGGGUGUCUGUGCAGGAAAGGACUGGACUUGUAAUUAAGUCCUGUUUUCAAAACUGAAUUCUCUGAACCAUACAACAACUGGAAGUCCCUGAUAGUGCAUGUUUCAAAGAGUGGUUCCUUUCCCUGCCCACUCUUCAUUCCUUCAGCCAGCAUUCACCGAGUCCCCCACAAUGCAGCAGGCACUGGGCUAAGUGUUCAGCCAUGUGCUGCCAAACCCACACAGCACACUGACAGGCUAAGAUUCAGCAAAUGCCUGGCAAAACAAGAACAGACUUUCAGAUCAUGAUCCCAGUAAGCCUUCUGGGUAACUUUCACUACCAUCAUUUAAUGAAGGGCAUGAAACAGUACUUCUUGGAAAAGUACUUAGUAGCAAUCCCUUACUUGGGUCAUGUUUAUUCCUAUCUUAGUAAGUUUUAUCCAUCUGACUACCAACUCUAGCUUUCCUUGACAGUUCUGAAUGUCGGUUGCCUAAGAUGCAGUAUCUUCUCCUAAUUUCUCUUCUUUCCUGUCCAAGAACAGGUUUUCCAUCCGACACUGACUUUAUCCAACAAAAGCGUCCUCAAAAUGCCUGGACCCACUUUGAACACAACAACUUUUGUAGAUUUCUCCCUGUUCAGCCACCAGACUGCAGUACUUUUCCCCGCUGGAAUUGUAUCAAACGCAGUUCAGACAGGAAGGCUGUUACCUGCCCCAGUAAUCAAAGGACAGUGGCGUGUGAUGGUGAUCUGAGUACCGGUUGGAGUGGAGAAGGGAGAGGAGCUAGAACUGGACAACCACACCAGAACUUCUGUGCACAUUAUGAAUCUCCCUCUUGUUUUAAUUACUUUUUGGUAGGAGUCUUUGGCUCAUAUUAUUACUGGCAAUGACUGCUGAGCUAUUCUCCCUUUCUUUCCAAUCAAUGGCUCUGGUUCCCAAUUUCAGCUUAAAAGGGGCAAACAGACCUUCCUUUCAUUGGCCACGUUCUCUUAUGUAUCUUCUCUUUCUCCUUUUCAAACACGAGUCCCAUUUGUAUUUCUGUCUAUGAAAGUAAGGAUGAAUGCUGAACAAGCACAGCCUAAAGUCAAGGGCUUCAAAACAUCUCCAGCUAGAUAAUCCUAACACUUUUAAGGCACAACGUUAAAAUGGGAGCCACUCGAAGGUAAUAAUAGGCCAUGAUUAUAUUUAUGAAGAUUUCAUUACCUUGUGAAACCAAAGCUGAUUAUGCUUUACCAUCAUGACCGCCUCAGUCAGGUUGCUGAGACACAAACUGUGGACCUGCUAGAAAAACAGCAUUAAUAACCCAGCACAUAAUGGCUCUCCACAGCAAUGUUGCAGAUGAGACGGGUGACUCUACCCUGAGAGGAGAUUCCUCUUUCAGCAGGCCAUUCCAAGUGAACUUUUUGGACUCUUUUAGGACCUCUUCCGUCAAAAGAAGUAUAAAAGAAAGGAGCACCAAAUGUAGGAGUUGUUCCUGUACUGUGUGUAGGUUUCACUUAGCUAUCCCCCUACCUCCCUACCACCGAGCUACCUUUAAUGAUUAUUGCGAGGAGCUUUUCAGUAGUAAAUUCAAAAUCUACCUGUACUCAUCUCAUUUCCUGGGCCAUAAAUUUUAUAACCUGAGCUGUCACAAUUCUGCAGAGUAUUAGGCUGUUACUAGCUAUAAAUCUCAAGGUGAGUCGCCUGGUUCUGCCCAGAAAUAACAGAUCUCCAUGUUUCCCCAACUACUGACUCAUUCAUUUAUUCCACAGACAUUUAUUGAUCACUAAGGAUGUGCCAGAUCCUGGAUAGGUACUGAAGCAACAAUCAGACUGGUUCAGAGACAUGGGAUCUCUGACAUAAUGUCCCUAAUGUCCCAUUAGGACAUGUCAAUGAAAGUUAGGGUUUCCUUCCACUGUGCAGAAAGAGAAUGCCAGUCAACUUCACUAGCUGUUCUAGAGUUCCCUCUCAGUGAUGAAACUUUUCCACAUCUGAAUUCACCAUCCUGACUAGAGAGGAAAAGGAAACAAAACAAAACAAAACACAAGGCAUCACAGUCUCAACUGCUACCAAAGAGAGAGGUGAUGAUGCCCAUGUACUAGUGGUCAGUGUUCUUGUUUCAAGUUUACAGACCUGGAGGGUAGAAAAACAGAUGGGCAGAAAUAAACCAGCCAAUAAGUAGAAUGUUGUGUGAUGACUGUAGAGAGAAAGCAUGAGAUUAUUCCUACUGGAUAUGCAGGGGUGAGUUUCGUAGAGGAGCUGUUAUUUAAACUCAGUCUUGAAGAAUGGCUUUAUUCUGUCAGAAGGAGCCUUCUUUCUAGGAUUGAGUAAGCAAAGGCACAGAGGGACUCCUGGGGUAUGUUUAGAGUAAGAAGUGCCUGGUUCCUCUAGGAAAAUAUAUUCCAUUGUGGCCAGAAAUAAGAUUCGUUUACAUGGUUCCUGACAUGACUGCCCACUGACAGAAACUAAAUUUAUGAAGGUCUAAACACAGAAAUUAAAAAAUAAAUUAUUUAAAAGUAUGAGGUGAGAGUAGGCAUAAAGAAUUCAAGGAAUGACGUUUACCUAUGUUACUUUUACCAAGAGAAUCAGGUAAGUCCAGCCUCAUCUGAAGGGACUAAAAGAAUUAGUGAAGUCAUUUCACAUUGAAAAUCUUGAAGCUGAUGUAGUCUAAGCUACGAGUCUAGGCUGUAACCAGAAGAAAUUCAAGGAAAAUCCUUCUCAGUCUUGGCUUUCCCCAACUUCUGUGUGUCAUGUGAUGAGAUUCCCUUCAAAUGGUCACUAGACUAUUGACCAACUUAGUAACAGCCUGUAGGCCUCAAACUGUAAACAAUUUUAUGAUGAUGAUGUCAGUGUUGGCUUGAAUUUUGAGUAAGUAUGUCUGACUAAUCAGGAAGAAGUGGAAAGAGGGAACCAACCGGGUACAUGUGGUUACAACUGAUUAGCACGUGGCUCCACCCAGUUAGCCUCAUGAAGGGAAGUGUGGUGCCUCCUCUCAGGCAGCAGUAACGCCCUCUCCGGCCACAUGGGCGCUAAUGAACCUGCUGUAAUUGGCCAGUGGAAGUGGUGCUACCUUCUCAAUAGAAAGGGGUUAACAGUGCUCCCUUCUUCUUUCCCAAUUCCUUGUAGCUAGGGGCCAGCCUUCUCUCCACCACUCCACCCCAGCCUGAGGACAGGGAGAUGCAACAACAAAAUAAGCUACCAUCUAGCCAGGAGUAUAUAGAAGUGUGUGUUCCUUUCUGUUGGGCACAAUCAAAAGGCAAAGAAGCGGACAGGUUGGAACCCGAGUGAUGGCCUUGGGCCAACUCUAAGAUGCUGGCUUGGUGGCUUCCUAUAGCUUAGCACAUCAAGUCCUUGGCUUCUAGAUCUAGUUUGCGCGGUCUGCGCUUGAUGGCACAGAGGCCCUAAACAGGACAGUCUCUACUGUGUACAAAUGCAUCGUGCUUACUCUUGCAAGCAUAUGUUUCUAAUGUAUUCCCUUCAUCUGGAAUACGCUUCUCUCUCAUCUAAAUCUAUCCAAAUAUUCUUAGUUCUUCAUUCACUUAAUAAUUAUUAAGAACUAGUGUUAAGCCCUAGGGAUAAAAGCUUAAGAAGGCAUGACACCUGCUGUCAAGGAGCAAAUAGUCCACUCCUAGGUUUUCAGUUGAGUGCCAACUCCAACCAAUUAUUAACAGAACUCUAUACUGAGGAUUCUGAAAUCCGAUUCAGGCUGAAUAAUAAUAAUGGGUAUAUCAAGCUUGAUUAGCAAUGUCUGCCACAUGGGUAGCAGGAGUUCGUGAUAGCAUGCAUGCCAUAUACUUGCCAUCUCUGGGUCUGGCUUAAUUUCUACCUCCUUAAAAAAAAUGUCCCCUACAAUCCCCAUUCCCCAGUGUUCAACAGUAUCAUUCUUCUGCAUCUUACAAUUUAGAACUAGAUUCUAUUGCAUUACAUUAAAUUUGUCACACAUGUUAGCCUUCUUUCCACAACUAAAAUCUAAGCUGACUGAGGGCACAGGUCAAGUGUGCAUCUUCUGUAAUGCAAAGAACCAAGCACAAAUAAAAUGCUCAAAAAAUACUUGUUCAGUUGACAUGGGAAUAGAUGCACAAUCGCACCAAGAACUUUUCUCAUUUUCUUCAGUAGUCUCUAGUCAUGGCACCUUUGUGUUCUCGAGGUCAUUUCCAUAAUAUCACAGAAUCUGAUUAUAAAGUGGGGGAUUUAAAGUUCCAGUACUGGGAUCAAAGCUCCUCCUGGAUCCUGGAGGGGAUUUUUAUGGCUACAGGAAAAGUUACUGUUAGCUCUAAGUUACCACAGCUGGAUCAAACCUAGCAUAUCACCAGGUUGAUCAGAGUGUGGCUCCAAAGCUGGUAAAUGUGAGCAAUUGCAAGCCACUCUCUUUUGGCAAGUGGCUUUCUGGACUAACCACAAUUUUUUUCUCUUGUUAGUAAAUAAUAGAAAAUGACUGACUGUGAAAACUAAAAUUAUAUUCACUUCAACUUCCUACCUCUUAAGAAGAAGGUAAGGGUACAAGUUACUUCCAGAUCACCAAAACUAAACAUGAUUAAGUCUUAAGGAUGAAUUUUUAAAAGUCCAACCCAAUAUUUAUUGAACUUCUAACACAUAUUUAAAACUUUAUUAAGUGCUCUAUGUGAAAUUUAUAAACCCUCUGGGAGCCUGUAAUUUAUUUGGUCAAUGAAAGAAAUGAGUAUGAUCCAACCAACCAAUAAUGCAGGAGAGUAUAAUCUAGUGUUACACCCAGGUUAACACCAUGUCAUGGCUACUAAUAAGUGAAUUGAUAUUUAGAAUUUAGUUGAGAGCCAUGUUAAUGCUUAAAUCCCAAACCAUUAGAGCUGCUAAACCAUUAGCUGCUGCUAAUCAUGCCCUCACAGAUCAAUUUCAGGGUCACUGCUAUUUUUUAAACCAGUAAGAUAGAAAUCUUUGAAGCUGUCCCUACCUGCAAAAUAUGUCUAGAAAUACCCAUUUCAGAUAAAUUUAGACCCAAUAAGUGGUAUUUUUAGCAACCAUGAUUUCUACAGAUGUGGGCUGAGAUUUAUGGUUAAUCUGUUUUCCAGUUCAAAGCAAAGGAGCAGUUUAAAAUUGGAAUCUUUUAAUAUAUCGUGAUCAACCAAGAUGACAUAGUCCAAGUACAUUCAAUACAUUUUCCUCAGGUAUAUUCAAAUUGGAUUUGCGGAUAUGAUUUCCUUAUCCCUAGUCUUUUCCCGUAGAACAAAGGAAUUACACAGAUAAUUCAGGCAAAUCCUUCCCACUCCUACACCACUCCAGGAACAUUCUGAAUAACCAAGAUGAAUCAGAUGAAAUCAAGCUUUUUGUUUUGUUUUAAGCGUAAUUAUUCUGAUAACUAUGUCAGUGCUCCAUUUCACUUUGGCUGUGAGGAUAAGACCUUAGGAGACUUUUCAGCCAGGAACAGCACUAAGGAAAAACAUGUGGAAGACCAAGGGAGCCGGUAUUUCACCUCAGGGCUCCCCAUCCCCAGUGUGGAUGAAUACUUAAGGUAUAACGCUUGUAAUCUAGAGGUUCCUCAUCUAAUUUAGUGAAGUAUUCACAUUUUAGAAGUUUAUUUUUCUACUUCAGAAGUACUCAUUUCAGGAUUUCAAAUAAAAUGAAUGUCUUUAGUAUUUGAUGAUGAUCUGCUUUACAUACAAGUUUUUAAGAAUUCCAUCAGGUUAAAAUAGAGUGAGACUCUAAAUAACUGUUUAUUCAAAGAUUUCUGCUCAAAUGCCUUCUACCUGAAUUAUCUAUAUAACUCAAGAUGAAGCUGGGCUGGGGUUAAAGCCGGAUAGAUCAUCCCUACUGUCCUAAUUCCCCAAACAAUCCCCAAUCUCCCCCUUACAGUGCGCUGGAAGGCCUUGUGUAUAAUAGCACCAGAUAAAAUUACCCUCCUAGGUACUCUUCAGCAACUCCACAAUCAACUGAGCAACCUAUAAAUUUACAUUCCAAAGCCCAAUGGCACAGCGACCAAUAGUACCUCAUUCCUCCUCAAUCUUUGUCUUUCUCCUUUAAAUAAGAAAACCUUAUGUUAAUGGGGAGAUUAUUGAAAGAGUCUCCUUGUAAGCCAUGAAUGCCACUUCACAGACUGUACAAAAAGCAGAGCUCUAUGAACAGUACAAUAGAGUCAACUCAUCUUUGUGAAAAGCUCAGCAUCAGCCUUACAGAGAACUUAAAUAGUUCCAAUUCCUAGAUCUCUAUUAAAACAUAAUGAGUCCAUGCUUAUGCCACUGUGAGUCCAUGCACACACAUAUGCAAAGGCAAGUUUACUGCACAGAGGGUAGUCAUAUUGUAAAUCGGGACUUAACCUUGACAUUGGAUUACAUUAUUUUUUCAAGCUAUUCAAGAUCAUCUGCUCAUUCUGAAGUAUUUUCUUCUCAUUGAUGUAUCUGAAGCAAGUACCUUUAAAAUAAAACACCUAAAUACCAAAAACCCAUACAAAAUGUAUCUUAGAUGUUCAAAUUUAGCAAAAAGCCAAAUAUAAAUUACCGAAAAUCUCUGCAGACUUGCAAUAUCUUGUUAAUUGCAAAAAUAAAUAAAUAAAUAAAUAAAUAAAAUAAAAUAA